AUCAAUGGCUAAAGAAAUUCUUAAGUGUGAUGAUUGGGUGUUCAUGCUCCAGGCAUGACAUGUGCCUCCUUUAAACCUUGUUACGACCUCGACACAUUACCCAUCUGAUG
This 110-nucleotide small nucleolar RNA is filed under the name Cavia porcellus (domestic guinea pig). RNAcentral describes it as "Small nucleolar RNA U13". It matches the Rfam family "Small nucleolar RNA U13". Lineage: Eukaryota; Metazoa; Chordata; Mammalia; Rodentia; Caviidae. The record is from Rfam by way of RNAcentral.